AUUGAACGCUGGCGGCAGGCCUAACACAUGCAAGUCGAACGGUAACAGGAAGAAGCUUGCUUCUUUGCUGACGAGUGGCGGACGGGUGAGUAAUGUCUGGGAAACUGCCUGAUGGAGGGGGAUAACUACUGGAAACGGUAGCUAAUACCGCAUAACGUCGCAAGACCGAAAAGGGGGACCUUUCGGGGCCUCUUGCCAUCGGAUGUGCCCAGAUGGGAUUAGCUAGUAGGUGGGGUAACGGCUCACCUAGGCGACGAUCCCUAGCUGGUCUGAGAGGAUGACCAGCCACACUGGAACUGAGACACGGUCCAGACUCCUACGGGAGCAGCAGUGGGGAAUAUUGCACAAUGGGCGCAAGCCUGAUGCAGCCAUGCCGCGUGUAUGAAGAAGGCCUCGGUUGUAAGUACUUUCAGUACGGGGGAGGAAGGGAGUAAAGUUAAUACCUUUGCUCAUUAGACGUUAACCCGCAGAAGAGCACCGGCUAACUCCGUGCCAGCAGCCGCGGUAAC
RNAcentral lists this ribosomal RNA (509 nucleotides) under uncultured bacterium. RNAcentral describes it as "bacterial SSU rRNA". It matches the Rfam family "Bacterial small subunit ribosomal RNA", at positions 30 to 524 of the family's 1533-position model. The record is from RNAcentral.